AUGUUGUCUUACAAAAUAGCGUCUGCCGUAUCACACAUUUAAUGCCUUCGCUUAGGUGUAUGGAUACAUUUCUGUGGACCAAUCAGAUUCUUUGAAAUAUGACCUCAUCGCCUCUUAGCCAAUCACCAUUUAGAUGACAUAAAGAGUUACUGCCCGAUAUAAGGCUAUCCCGAGAAACGUUCCGCAUUUCUUUCCUUGCUUUCAGUCAAUGUAUGUACCUGCUUUCUCUUCGACCACCGUCUAUCAUUAAGAUUUUUGAUUCUUCGCUGCUUUGAAUGGGUCAGCCACAAAACAGCGCACCAGAGGUAAGUAACGUUUUGAAAAUAUACUGCUUUUAGAAUUUUAAUCUUUAAAAAUUGUUGAAUUUGCAAUGUGUGCUUGAUUUGCCUUUACUUUUUCAGAUGAAAAACCUAUUUGAGAACGAACAUAUGCCCUCGAAUGAUAAAGUGUUGAGCCAUGGAGACCUUGUUCGCACCCAAGAUAUUCCAAGAGAAUCAGACUCUUGGGAAUUUGUGCCAAAAGAUAAUCAGAAGAAACAACGCAUUUCGAGAAAAAAGACCUUUUUACUGAAGACGCUAUUUCAGAGUAGUUCACUCACAUGGGAAACAAUGUUUUUGUGGGACCCAGCAUUUACAAGGGAAAAGUGAUUGUGCACAUGCGAGAGUAUGCCAAGUAUGAUAAAGCUUACUAUCUGACAAGACGAGGAGGGAAUUUUGAACCAUGGUGUUUGAAUGUUCUCGCAACCAACAUGACAGUAGACGAACAAGACCUACUGACACUCAAUCUGAAGUUGCCCAAGAACUUUGUGGUCACGUAUAGGGAUUCCCACUUCACUCUGAAACAAUUUUCUGCUCAAGGAGAUGAAAAAAAGUAGCCUCAGCAUUACAACUACGCAGUGGGAAAAACUGAUGGCCAACUUUAGCCGUAUGAGCGACAUUGUCACCAACCUCGUUUAUCAAAACAUGAACUUUUGUGAAGCCUACGAAAGCAUAUCCUGUUAAGGAGGAAAAUAUGCCCCAAUCCUUUGACAUUUCUAUAGGAUGAGCACGCAUCCAAACCAUUGUAAAGACGUCGCUUGAAGAACUUCUUAACCAACAUGAACUAAAAUACCCCUAGCUCAUAGACUGUGAAUAACUUGUUCAUAAAACUUAAACUGUGAAUGCCAUUGCUCUGAGAUUCACUGCUGUUGACAUUCCCAGACAAUUUUGCGGAAAGAUUUUGGGUGAAGAACCCCAUUUAAUGUUACUGAAACCUGCUCACUACAUUACCAAGGACUUUUUAAAAUCUGUGUGUUUAAACCAUGUACUCGACGAAGUAAGAAAUACAUUUUGUACUACGAAUGGCGUCUUAGGUAUUGAAUACUAUGAAUAUUUGUAAAAUAAUUAGGAUGCUCAAUAAAUGUUAUUUUAUUUUA
Long non-coding RNA from Stegodyphus dumicola, 1414 nucleotides. The record is from RefSeq and is a predicted model, not a curated record. Lineage: Eukaryota; Metazoa; Arthropoda; Arachnida; Araneae; Eresidae.